AGCAGCCGCGGUAAUUCCAGCUCCAAUAGCGUAUAUUAAAGUUGUUGCAGUUAAAAAGCUCGUAGUUGAAUUUCGGGAUCAGUUGAUCGGUCGUGCCUCGGUACGUACUGGUCAAAUUGAUUCCUACCUUCUGACGAACCACGAUGUCAUUAAUUUGGUGUCGCGGGAAAUCAGGACUGUUACUUUGAAAAAUUAGAGUGUUUAAAGCAGGCUCGCGCUUGAAUACAUUAGCAUGGAAUAAUGAAAUAGGACGUUUGAUUCUAUUUUGUUGGUUUCUAGGAUCGACGUAAUGAUUAAUAGGGAUAGUUGGGGGCAUUAGUAUUCAAUUGUCAGAGGUGAAAUUCUUGGAUUUAUUGAAGACUAACUACUGCGAAAGCAUUUGCCAAGGAUGUUUUCAUUAAUCAAGAACGAAAGUUAGGGGAUCGAAGACGAUCAGAUACCGUCGUAGUCUUAACCAUAAACUAUGCCGACU
RNAcentral lists this ribosomal RNA (472 nucleotides) under uncultured Glomus. RNAcentral's name for it is "SSU rRNA". It matches the Rfam family "Eukaryotic small subunit ribosomal RNA", at positions 569 to 1047 of the family's 1831-position model. Lineage: Eukaryota; Fungi; Glomeromycota; Glomeromycetes; Glomerales; Glomeraceae. The record is from RNAcentral.